RNAcentral lists this transfer RNA (73 nucleotides) under Rattus norvegicus (Norway rat). It matches the Rfam family "tRNA". Rfam says of the family: Transfer RNA (tRNA) molecules are approximately 80 nucleotides in length. Their secondary structure includes four short double-helical elements and three loops (D, anti-codon, and T loops). Further hydrogen bonds mediate the characteristic L-shaped molecular structure. tRNAs have two regions of fundamental functional importance: the anti-codon, which is responsible for specific mRNA codon recognition, and the 3' end, to which the tRNAs corresponding amino acid is attached (by aminoacyl-tRNA synthetases). tRNAs cope with the degeneracy of the genetic code in two manners: having more than one tRNA (with a specific anti-codon) for a particular amino acid; and 'wobble' base-pairing, i.e. permitting non-standard base-pairing at the 3rd anti-codon position. Lineage: Eukaryota; Metazoa; Chordata; Mammalia; Rodentia; Muridae. The record is from Rfam by way of RNAcentral.
GCCUGGAGAGCUCAGUUCAUAGGGCAUGAGAUGUUUAAUCUCAGAGUUGUGGGUUCAUGUCCCACAUUGGGCG